CAGAAGGCAGCAGGAAUGUGUUCUUAGAGGAUUAGUACUUCCAGGAGUGCUCUCUCUGGGUGUAACUGUUGGGUAGUACUUAGUAGACCCUUGGAUUUUAUUGGUCUUUGCUGUUUUUGAAGGACUACUGACAGAUGAUGGCUGAUGAAACAGAAGUUUUGGUCACAAUCAACGUGCUGCCUUGAUUUUCUUUUAAAAUUUCCUGUGCCAGCAAUCAAGAUGGCUCAUAGAAUGCUGAAAUGAUCUGAAACUAAUCAUCUGGAAGAUUCAUCAUUAUAUGAAGAUGACUAUACUAACAGCUAUUUUAUUGAGAGG
This is a long non-coding RNA of Bos indicus x Bos taurus (hybrid cattle), 315 nucleotides long. Lineage: Eukaryota; Metazoa; Chordata; Mammalia; Artiodactyla; Bovidae. The record is from Ensembl.